AAUUGUUAUAGCUCUUUUAGAAUUUGUGUACCAGGUUUUCUGGUUUUCACCGGAAACCAAC
Molecule: small nuclear RNA, 61 nt
Organism: Rhinopithecus bieti (black snub-nosed monkey)
Lineage: Eukaryota; Metazoa; Chordata; Mammalia; Primates; Cercopithecidae
Gene: U7
Rfam family: U7 small nuclear RNA
About the family: Animal histone pre-mRNAs are spliced by a different mechanism than nuclear pre-mRNAs and self-splicing introns.
Source: Ensembl